Molecule: long non-coding RNA, 258 nt
Filed under: Aquilegia coerulea
Lineage: Eukaryota; Viridiplantae; Streptophyta; Magnoliopsida; Ranunculales; Ranunculaceae
Description: long non-coding RNA (ACOE_LNC000130)
Source: RNAcentral
UAUACUAACUAUGGCAUAAGAAAAUUGCUUUUCGAGAAACGAAAGCAAACAAUUGGGGCAACGAUGAUGAAAAACUUGACCAACAAGAAUAUUGUUCAAACAAACAAAUUUGAACAAAUGAAUAAGAAAUUGUGAUUUGAACAAAGAGAACGAGAUUUGAACAUCCAAAUUAUAUCAUCAAUAAUCAACAUUGAAUAACAACGGAAGGAGUAUGAACGCGAGAGUGAAAUUUGAAAUAUUAAAGAGUAAGGAAUUUAU